GAUGAACGCUGGCGGCGUGCCUAAUACAUGCAAGUCGAGCGAACAGAUGAGGAGCUUGCUCCUCUGACGUUAGCGGCGGACGGGUGAGUAACACGUGGAUAACCUACCUAUAAGACUGGGAUAACUUCGGGAAACCGGCGCUAAUACCGGAUAAUAUAUUGAACCGCAUGGUUCAAUAGUGAAAGACGGUUUUGCUUUCACUUAUAGAUGGAUCCGCGCCGCAUUAGCUAGUUGGUAAGGUAACGGCUUACCAAGGCGACGAUGCGUAGCCGACCUGAGAGGGUGAACGGCCACACUGGAACUGAGACACGGUACAGACUCCUACGGGAGGCAGCAGUAGGGAAUCUUCCGCAAUGGGCGAAAGCCUGACGGAGCAACGCCGGGUGAGUGAUGAAGGUCUUCGGAUCGUAAAACUCUGUUAUGAGGGAAGAACAAAUGUGUAAGUAACUAUGCACGACUUGACGGUACCUAAUCAGAAAGCCACGGCUAACUACGUG
Molecule: ribosomal RNA, 497 nt
Filed under: uncultured bacterium
Lineage: Bacteria
Description: partial 16S ribosomal RNA
Rfam family: Bacterial small subunit ribosomal RNA
Source: RNAcentral